AGUGAACGCUGGCGGUAGGCCUAACACAUGCAAGUCGAACGGCAGCACAGUAAGAGCUUGCUCUUACGGGUGGCGAGUGGCGGACGGGUGAGGAAUACAUCGGAAUCUACUUUUUCGUGGGGGAUAACGUAGGGAAACUUACGCUAAUACCGCAUACGACCUACGGGUGAAAGCAGGGGAUCUUCGGACCUUGCGCGACUGAAUGAGCCGAUGUCGGAUUAGCUAGUUGGCGGGGUAAAGGCCCACCAAGGCGACGAUCCGUAGCUGGUCUGAGAGGAUGAUCAGCCACACUGGAACUGAGACACGGUCCAGACUCCUACGGGAGGCAGCAGUGGGGAAUAUUGGACAAUGGGCGCAAGCCUGAUCCAGCCAUACCGCGUGGGUGAAGAAGGCCUUCGGGUUGUAAAGCCCUUUUGUUGGGAAAGAAAAGCAGCAGGUUAAUACCCCGCUGUUCUGACGGUACCCAGAGAAUAAGCACCGGCUAACUUCGUG
RNAcentral lists this ribosomal RNA (492 nucleotides) under uncultured bacterium. Its description in RNAcentral is "partial 16S ribosomal RNA". It matches the Rfam family "Bacterial small subunit ribosomal RNA", at positions 29 to 507 of the family's 1533-position model. The record is from RNAcentral.